Molecule: ribosomal RNA, 432 nt
Filed under: uncultured bacterium
Lineage: Bacteria
Description: partial 16S ribosomal RNA
Rfam family: Bacterial small subunit ribosomal RNA
Source: RNAcentral
AACGAACGCUGGCGGCAUGCCUAACACAUGAAAGUCGAACGAAGGCUUCGGCCUUAGUGGCGCACGGGUGCGUAACGCGUGGGAAUCUGCCCUUGGCUUCGGAAUAACAGUUAGAAAUGCCUGCUAAUACCGGAUGAUGUCGCAAGACCAAAGAUUUAUCGGCAAAGGAUGAGCCCGCGUAGGAUUAGCUAGUUGGUGGGGUAAAGGCCUACCAAGGCGACGAUCCUUAGCUGGUCUGAGAGGAUGAUCAGCCACACUGGGACUGAGACACGGCCCAGACUCCUACGGGAGGCAGCAGUGGGGAAUAUUGGACAAUGGGCGAAAGCCUGAUCCAGCAAUGCCGCGUGAGUGAUGAAGGCCUUAGGGUUGUAAAGCUCUUUUACCCGGGAUGAUAAUGACAGUACCGGGAGAAUAAGCUCCGGCUAACUCCGU